GGGAUAUAGUUUUGAAAAAAAAAAAAGUUUUUGAAGGAGGGAUUAGAGAGAGAGGAGCUUCAUGCUUCGGGUCGGAGAAGGAAAGACAGAGAAUUUGGAUUUUUCUUCUUCGUAGAGUUUUGGGAAGGCUGAGGCAAUCGCUGCUGAAGUCAGUAUUGUAAUGAUAAAUCGGGAUUUUUAAUGAAGUGGGUUUGAAUACUCUUGACUGUUUUGUGAAAUCGAGUUACGUCUAUGAUUGAAGGAUUAAAAAGACGUCUAUAGGAUUGAGUAUGCGGAGUGAAUGAAAUUUAUUGGGUUAAUCUAACAAGACAGUCAGUGGAUACAAGAUCGUAAGUACAAAGCGGUAUUGAAGAUUAACAGUUUGGGUUGUUCAGGGUUCUCUGUAACGUCUAGAGACCUACCGGCUGGGACAAAAAGGACUUCGACAAGUAGUCGAAGAGCAUCCAUAUAGAUUUACGGUACAUUGUUGGAGUCGUUUAUAUUCCAGGAGUCAAAACUGAUAGAUUGCUUGACUAUCGACGAAUCUCCAUACUACCUUCUACAGCCAGAUGCCCGGCACGUUCUCGAGCAAGAAAGCACGUAAUACGACAAAAGUGGUGAACCUGACAUGAAAGCUUGAUGUAGAAGGUAUUGGAUUUCGGUUGAUUUUAUCUUUAUUUUAUGGAAAACGAAAAUAAAAAUUUGGAAGGAUUUUUGGGAGGAGUUUCUGGUGGGGAGUCUUCUAAAGUACAAGGUAUGCACAUGGAUCCAUCUAUUGCUAGUUUGUUUCAAGCCUUCUCAUUGUCAAUGCAGCAACAUCAAAGCAAUAAUCGAAAGGAAGCUUUGGCAACCAAAGCAUUACAAGCAGUGGUCAAUAAAAUUGAUCAAUUUGAUGGGAAGAAUAUUUCAAGGUAUUUAAGAUGUUAUGUUCGUGAAAUGGAAUUAAAUCGAGUUUCUGAGAAGAAAAUGGUUGCACUAUUUGGACUUGCCACGAUACCAGAGAUAAGAAUCCACAUUACAUCGAUUACGGAUCGUUAUGGAAAUUCAUGGGAGGAUUUUUCACAUGCAUUGAAAGACGAAUAUUUCUUGGAAGAUGCUGAUCGCGUUACUAAGAAGCUAUUUCUGGGAUGGAUUGAACGGCCCAAUAAGAAUUUGCAAGCAACAGAGCUACUAAGAGAAUUUGAGAGGCAGUACUCUCAAUUAUCGAAGGUAGAAAAAUUGACAUUGGAGCCGAACAAAGUUGAUCUAUUUCUUCAAGCUGCUGAUGGAGAAUUGCAAGAGAAAUUAGAACCCCUUCUUGAAGACAAAGAAGAAGAUGAAGGAUUGACAACGAAGUGGAAGAACGUUGAAGAUGCGGUGGGGUUGCUUACAAAAAAAGAAAGGAGGAAGGAUAGGAGCAAUAAUCCGAAAACAGUACAAGCACCCAAAGCUCCAGUACGUACAACACCACCAACAAUGCCUACAGUUCAAACUUUGACAUCCUUGUCAAAGAAAGCAGAUAUGGGUAUGGAAGAAAUUAUAUGAGGAAUGCGAGAUCUUCAAAUCAAAUUGGCAAGACUUGAAGAGAAUACUUCUAUAAAUAAUUCGAAGAAUGUUUCAAAACAAGGAUAUGUACAAAAAUGCAUUUGGUGUGAUGAUGCUUCACACACUAGAAAAGAUUGCAAUAAAUUUAAUAAUAUGAUAUGGCAGGGAAUUAUUUGCUGGAAAGAUGGGAAGAUAGCAUUGAAAGAUAGGGAGGAUCUUCUUCAAACCAAUUUUGGCAAGGGAGGAAUGAGAGCAUUGGUUCAAGAUUACUUAAAAGGGCAUGAAACAGUAGCACGAGAAAGUGCAAGUUAUGGUGCUAGAGUAGAUGAUGAAAUUGGUGGAAGUACGGAAACUAGUGAGUUUUGAGCUUCUACCGUUUCUACAAUGCAAGAAGGGAAAUUACCUCGAGAAGCGUUAUUGAGAACUGCAGCUACAAUACGAGGUAGAACAGGUUGGGAGGAUCAUGUUAAUCUCUUUCAGUUCAUGCAUAUAUUGCUAAGAGCCAACAUGAAGCUUUGAUGGAAGAAAAGAGACGAGGAAAUUUUGAUGAUACUAGAGAAGGAAAUUUUUCUAAGAGGCAAACUCGAGGAGACAAGGCUCGGGAGGCAGCUUCACAAGAAUUGCCUGUAAAAGAUACCUCAUCAUCAUUGGGAGAAAAAACAAUGGAGACAAAAGAUAAGGGCAAAUCAAUUGCUUAUAAGCUACUUUCUGACAUUGAAGCGGCAACAAAUUUGAAAGGGGUGUUGGAAGAACGCAUAUUAAAUGCUAAGGUAGAAUUCACAUUGAAAGAAGUCUUGGGAAUUGCAAAGAAGGAGUUUCAUGAUGUUAUCAUUGACAGCAUUAAGCGAAAGAGGCAAUUAAUGAGCGAAACUGGAAUGAGUCAUGCUAUUGAUACAAGAAUAUGUAGAGAUGAAGAAGAGGUUGAUAUUGGUUACAAGCAACCAACAAAUGAAAAGAAUGGGUAUAAUCAACGAGUACGUUUCGAAGAUUCUAGUGACAAGGAAAUAGAAACUUUGAGCCAUUAUACUCGAAAGUAUUGGGCAAGGGUUACUACUGAGGUAUUGGUGAAGGUAGGAGAUAUAGAUGAACCAAUAGUUGCUUGGUCGACCAUGGUUCUGAAAUAAAUCUCAUGUCUAAAGAUCUUUAUAAGAAGCAAAAAUGGCCAAUUGAUAUGGAACAUGGAUGGGCAAUACGAGCACCUAAUAACACACGGGGCGAAUUAUAUGGAGCUUGUCCAGAUGUCAAAAUUCGGAUUGGGGAUGUUGCGACGGAGCAACAUUUCUUCGUUCAAGAUACAACGUCUUAUCUAUUGAUUUUAGGACAACCUUAUAUCAUGGCAACACGGAUGGAAACAAAAGUACUUGACGAUGGUUCUGCUUAUGCAAGGGUACGGAGCGAAGAUGGGAGGAAAACUGUACAAUUUCUAACAGUACCUCCUAACCAUGAACAGAAUUGAGAUAGGUUGAGGGAGAAACCAUUGCCAAAGAUUGUUGAAGGAUUUAAGGAUUUUGGGGAGGUACCACUGUAAAGCGAGAUUAUAGAGGUACAAAAGAGGAGGUACUCUCGCGAGAUGAAGGUGCCUUUGAUGCGAGUUUUAUUGGUAUAUUGGAGAAUGGAAAUAUUAUGUAUAAGAAAGUUGAUGAUUUUAAAAGAAAAGAAAGAAAAAGAUUAUAUAAUAUUGAAAGACAAUUAUGCAUGAUAGGUGCAUUGCAAAAUGAUGAGAAGAUUUUGGGUGUUUAUGAAGAAAAUGGACUGGAAGAUUCAUUGGAAUUGAUUACAUCUAUUGGGUUAGGAGAUAAGGAUAAGAUUGUUGAUAUUCAUCCGAGAGAGGUUUAUACCAUGCUUGAAUCUUUUCAAGCACCAGAAGUCACAGUAGAGUCGAGAUAUAAAACGGCAGAUAAGAAGAUAAAGCCUGUUGCCGGACCAUUACCAGAGGAUUCUAAAGAACAAAUGGGAGAAGCAUCAAAAGAAGCAAGUUUAAGAGAUCGAAUGAGUAUUGGACAUCAGUUUACUGAAGAGACUUUUGAAGAAUUGAAGAUUGGUUCUGAUGGUUCUUUAUUGCCGGAGGAAGUUACUUGCUUCAAAAAGAUGUUGGCUAAACAAGGUAGAUCGUUUGCCUUCGAAUCUCAUGAAAUUGGGUGUGUGGAUCCAAAUAUUAUAACACCUAUGGUUAUCUUCACUGUACCGCAUGUACCUUGGAAUCUAAGACCGAUUCCAGUACCGAGGGCACAUUUACCUAAAUUGGUGGAACUAUUAAAAGAAAAGAUAAAGAUGAAAAUAUUGGAACCUUCAUUUGCGCCGUAUUCAAGUCGAUGGUUUACGGUACCUAAGAAGAAUGGGUCACUACGGUUUAUUCAAGAUAUGCAACCAGUGAAUGCAGUAACUGUCAGGAAUGCAGGAAUUGGACCUAUUGUGGAUGAAUUUGCUGAGGCGUUUGCUGGAGGGCGAUCUAUUCAAUGGGUGAUUUGUAUUCAGGUUAUGAUCAAUUUCAACUUGCCGAAGGAAGUAGAGAUAUGACAACGAUGAGGACACCACUUGGAUUGGUUAGAAUGUGCAUUCUUCCUCAAGGCACGACCAACUCAGUUGCGCAUAUGAUGAAUGGGAUAAAUAAGGUAUUGAGAGAUUUUAUUCCGGAAAUGACUAUGCCUUUUUUGGAUGAUGUUCCUAUAAAAGGGUGCAGAGAAGGAGACAAGGAUGAAACUUUAGAUACGAGGGGAUGUCGCAGAUAUGUUGUUGAUCAUAUACAGGAUUGUGAAAAGAUUUUAACUCGGCUUGGAGAAGUUCAUCUUACAUUAUCGGGUAUGAAGUCUGUAUUUGGAGUGCGAGAGGUUGUAAUUGUUGGACAUUUAUGUGGAUCUUACGGAAGAAAAUCAGAUCGGACUAAAGUUGAUGCAAUUGGAAGGAUGAAAGAGGAUUGUCAUUCUUUAAGAGAGGUUUGCAGGUUUUUGGGUGCAUGUGUAUUUUAUCGAAUCUGGAUCCCUCAUUUUGCUCACAUAGCGGAUCCAUUAUAUGAACUGUUACGCAAGGGUUACCGAUUUAAAUGGAAAGAAAGGCAUAUUCAGGUAAUGCAAAGCUUGAAGAAAUUAUUGAUGUCACCUCCAAUAUUGAGGAAGGUUGAUUAUAAGUGCAAUAGACCAGUGAUGCUUACUGUAGAUGCUAGUCCAAUUGUCGUUGGAUGGGCUGUGGGUCAAGAUGAUUCAUAUGGAAGUAGAUUUGCAGUUCGAUUUGGGGCUAAAGUUUUAAGUAUUCGUCAGCGUGCAUAUUCGCAAGUCAAAAGAGAACUUUGGGAAGUCGUUUCGGCUAUGAAAGCUGAAAAGGACUAUUUGAUUGGGGCAGUAGUAGUAAUUGAAACCGAUUGCUUGCCAUUGCUUGGAAUGAUUACUAACUGUUCAAUGCCAGAUAUUGCAAUGUUGAGAUGGAUUGCUUAUAUUAAGUCACUAAAUCCAGAAUUUAAGCAUAUCACUAGGAAGGACAAUUUAGUAGUAGACAUGCUAUCUCGAGCAAGAUAUGAGAGGGAGGACGAAAUGAUUGAAGACAUUGAUGAUGUCGGAUUGAAAUCCUAUUCAAUAUCAAAUCUCAAUAGAGAAGACAAGCUAUUUCUUGAAGAAUCAUAUGAAGGAGAAUUAUUGGAUAUUGGUCAUUAUUGAAUACUUUGACUAAGUAGGGGAAUUGGCCUACAGAAAAAUUCAAACAAAUAAGAAAAAAAGCAUAUGGAUUUUUACUUCGAGAUGGAUUCUUAUGGAAGAGACCGAAGAAAGGAAUUGGGAUGCCACAACGAGUGAUAGGCAAAAGGGAAGAAAAACUAAAAUUAUUAAAGGAGUUUCAUGAUAGUUUAUGGGCAAGGCAUAGAGGAAUCUGGGCUACUUUUGCUAAACUCAAGGAACGAUAUUGGUGGAAAAAUAUGUAUCGAGAUGUGCUCUCAUUUGUAGAGUCAUGUGAAAUCUGUCAAUCAUAUUCUAAUAUCCGACACCGAGAUGGUCUUCAUCCUACAUAUCCUCUGGCUAUUCAUUUUAAAUGGGUUGUUGAUUUAGUUAUUAUGCUGGUUGGGUUAUGGCAGAUGAGAUAUUUGAUUUUAGCUCGAGAAGAUUUAUCAAAUCAAGUAGAAGGAAGAGCAUUGAGGACAAAAUCUACAAAGGAGAUUUGUAGGUUUUUGCUUGAAGAUGUCAUUUGCCGUUACGGGUGCGUAGGAAAAAUCACUGCAGAUCGUGGAGAAUUAAAUGCACAAGAAGCUCGUAAGUUCUUUGAAAGAUGUGGAAUUAAACUAUCACCAAUUACUGCUUAUAAUCCGGAAGGGAAUGCAAAAAGCGAACGCGGUCACCCGUCGAUUGUGAAAGCAUUGGUUAAAGCUUGUAAUAGGAAAGUUAAAGAGUGGCCACGGCUAUUGUCAUUUGCAUUAUGGGCUGAUCGAACAACACAUAGUUUGGUGACAGGAUAUUUGCCAGUAGAACUUAUGACAGGUCAAAAAUCAAUUAUGCCGAUUGAAGAAAAGGUACUUACUUGGAGUAUGCUACCAUGGGAAGAUGGAUUGACAAGAGAAGAACUUCUGGCUAUUAGGAUUCGACAAUUGGAGCAAAGAACAGAAGAUGUCCAGAUAGCAUUGGGAAGGUUAAAAGGAGCAAGGUUACAAAACAAGGCGCGAUUCGAUAAGCAACAUCGAUUGAGACCAAAAGCAAUCGAGGAAGGUGAUUGGAUACUUAUUUAUGACAAUAGUCUGGAUAAUCAACAUAGUACUUUGCGGAAAUUUUCAAAACGUUGGUUUGACCAUAUGUGGUAACAACUGUUCAUGGUAAUGCGACUUACUCAUUACGGGAGUUAGAUGGUACAAAAUUGAAAAUACCAAUUGCAGGGAAGCGAGUAAAAAUAUUUAAACGAAGACACACAGAGAUGAAUAUGGAAGACCUUAAUGAAGGUAUAGAGAUUCCGCAGCAAAAAGAUGAAAGUGAUUUGGAUAAUGAAGGUGACGAAGACGAACUGGACAAAGACGUAGAGGAUAUAUUCUGAAUCAAACAGCAAUUGGGUAAAUUGGUGCAUACCGGAGGAUGCACAGGUUUAGAGGGGAUGGAUGUCGUGUUGUAACACGAGUAUUUAGUGAAAAUAAAAAGAAAGGGGAAUUUUAUUAAUAUUCAGUUACCUCGAAUAUUGGGAGCAUCGACCAACUCCAGUGCAAAUACUGAGUGGUCAGGUUCAGUCACCCCAUUACAGUCAGCCGGGGCAUAUUCAAAUGCUCCAUUCGAUUCCAAUAAUGGGAGUCAGCAGGAAGAGAAGGACCAAUUCACAUGACGGGUUCGAAGAGCCAAUUGGAUCCAAUUUUGAGAAUCCAAUCCGGGUCCUCUUAUCCAAUAUGAGACCUGAUUGGCCGGUCAACCCAAUUACGAGAAAUCGAGGUCUUACUACGGGUCUUAGCCAAUCCGACGCGAGGACCAAUUUGACCCAAUUACGGGAACAUCCAGGUUACUACUGGACUCUUAUCCAAUAUGAGACCUCAAUUGGUUGGGCGACUCAAUGUGGUCCUGAUUACGGGAUUCGAUUCUGUUUCAGGCUGUCUUGUUCUCUGUGCCGUUUCAGGGAACGUUGUUUUCGGUAAAUGGAUUUCUUAAAGGUAAAAACGGAGGAGAAAGCUCUGACGGCGAGAGCCAAUUUUGGAUCCAAGCUUGAUGGUGGGAGCCAAUUCCGGAUCUAAGACGGAAGAUUGAAGAAAUUCAGAGGAUAAGGUUAGGGGGGAUAUAGUUUUUGAGAAAAAAAAGUUUUUGAAGGAGGGAUUAGAGAGAGAGGAGCUUCAUGCUUCGGGUCGGGGAAGGAAAGACAGAGAAUUUGGAUUUUUCUUCUUCGUAGAGUUUUGGGAAGGCUAAGGCAAUCGCUGCUGAAGUCAGUAUUGUAAUGGUGAAUCGGGAUUUUUAAUGAAGUGAGUUUGAAUAUUCUUGACUGUUUUGUAAAAUCGAGUUACGUCUGUGAUUGAAGGAUUAAAAGGGUGUCUAUAGGAUUGAGUAUGCGAAGUGAAUGAAAUUUAUUGGGUUAAUCUAACAAGACAGUCAGUGGAUACAAGAUCGUAAGUACAAAGCGGUAUUGAAGAUUAACAGUUUGGAUUGUUCAGGGUUCUCU
Molecule: long non-coding RNA, 7602 nt
Filed under: Physcomitrium patens
Lineage: Eukaryota; Viridiplantae; Streptophyta; Bryopsida; Funariales; Funariaceae
Description: long non-coding RNA (PPAT_LNC014243)
Source: RNAcentral